This 498-nucleotide ribosomal RNA is filed under the name uncultured bacterium. RNAcentral describes it as "partial 16S ribosomal RNA". It matches the Rfam family "Bacterial small subunit ribosomal RNA", at positions 30 to 523 of the family's 1533-position model. The record is from RNAcentral.
AUUGAACGCUGGCGGCAUGCCUUACACAUGCAAGUCGAACGGUAACAGGUCUUCGGAUGCUGACGAGUGGCGAACGGGUGAGUAAUACAUCGGAACGUGCCUAGUAGUGGGGGAUAACUACUCGAAAGAGUGGCUAAUACCGCAUGAGAUCUACGGAUGAAAGCAGGGGAUCGCAAGACCUUGUGCUACUAGAGCGGCCGAUGGCAGAUUAGGUAGUUGGUGGGAUAAAAGCUUACCAAGCCGACGAUCUGUAGCUGGUCUGAGAGGACGAUCAGCCACAUUGGGACUGAGAACCAGCCCAGACUCCUACGGGAGGCAGCAGUGGGGAAUUUUGGACAAUGGGCGAAAGCCUGAUCCAGCAAUGCCGCGUGCAGGAUGAAGGCCUUCGGGUUGUAAACUGCUUUUGUACGGAACGAAAAGCCCCGGGUUAAUACCCUGGGGUCAUGACGGUACCGUAAGAAUAAGCACCGGCUAACUACGUGCCAGCCGCCGCAGUAA